RNAcentral lists this long non-coding RNA (433 nucleotides) under Lathyrus oleraceus (garden pea). RNAcentral describes it as "Pisum sativum (pea) long non-coding RNA (PSAT_LNC025011)". The record is from RNAcentral. Lineage: Eukaryota; Viridiplantae; Streptophyta; Magnoliopsida; Fabales; Fabaceae.
CUCUUCUCUCACUAUCUUUUUCCCAGCCAGGGUAAUAGGAAUAGAAUAUCCUUUUGUUUCACUGAAACUCUGAAUUUAUAACCUGAUUUUUGUGGACCUGUGGGCUCAAAUGAGAGAGGCCCAAGUCCAACAUUUUUCUGUUAUAUUUUAUUUAUUUAUUUAAUUUGUUUUUUUCGUUUUUCGUUUGUUUUUUCUUUCGUUUUUUUUAAACACAUGGGUUUCGCCUAGCGAGCAUGACAGUUGAAGAAAUUCCUCUGAGCGUAGGUGAUUCUGGUGGCUUUUCUUGGGACUCGCUAAGCGACCCAUUCUGCUCGCCUAGCGAGCAUGACAGCUCAUGAACAAACGUUUGCUCCUUCAAGAUUAACGUUUUGACUGACGAAUAGACCCCAUUUGAACCUGUUGGAAGUAUCUCAAGCCAUUCCCUUGUGUUGAC